RNAcentral lists this non-coding RNA (148 nucleotides) under Otolemur garnettii (small-eared galago). The record is from Rfam by way of RNAcentral. Lineage: Eukaryota; Metazoa; Chordata; Mammalia; Primates; Galagidae.
GCCAGGUGUGGUGCCGCAUGCCUGUAGUCCCAGUUACUCCAGAGGCUGAGGCAGGAGGAUUGCUUGAGCCCAGGAGCUUGAGGCUUCAGUGAGUGAUCAGGAUGCUACUGUGCUACAGCCUGGGCAAGAGGGCAAGACCCUGCCUCAA